This 1359-nucleotide long non-coding RNA is filed under the name Chrysemys picta bellii (western painted turtle). RNAcentral describes it as "lncRNA (ENSCPBG00000012449.1)". The record is from RNAcentral. Lineage: Eukaryota; Metazoa; Chordata; Testudines; Emydidae.
CCCCGGACGGGGAUUUGGAGCCCAAAAAGCCAGACAUGUCCAGGAAAAUCCGGAUGUAUGGUAACCCUAGAUAAUUAGUAGGGCUCAACCACCCCUUAGUGGAAAAGCCCUAGAGAAUGGAAUAGAAAAUUAUCACCUUCCUUUUUAAUCCAUCCUAUAAAACGUAAUUGAGGAUUAAUUCCCUGCCGUGGGAUGGCCUGCAAACCCAACUGUAAGUAGAAGUUACCCCCUUUCCCUGGUUUACUAGAUGCUAGUGGACGGUAACGUCACGCUCUGGCUAGAUGGUCUUUCUCCAUUUACCACUGAGUCGGUUUUGAUACAGCCCUAGGCAGUUCUUUGGUUCCACACAGUACUUGUCUCUAAGCCCAAAAUGCCAGUUGGAGCGUCAGCUGCAUGGUGGCCUGGACGGGGCCCACCCACCUUCUGUACCUAGGCCUGAGCUGAGCCACUGAGGUUUGGUCUCUACAGUGCAUGGAACUGUCUGCAAGAAAUAACAAACGGAAGCUGGACUCACUCAGCCCAGCCUACGGCAAGCCAGAAGCAGAUGGUGUCUCCCGCUGGGAAGCUCUCCAGAGCCAGGGCGUGAAGAGGAGAGCACUGCACGCCUGUCAGAGGCGUUGGCCAGCUCCAAAGUGCAGAGAAGGUGGUUUAUGGUCCAGGCAGUGAACUAAGAGUCAGUGGGGGAAGAAACAUUGUGUGACCACAGCAGACCCAAUAGCAGAAGGAAAUUUCUUAUGGCGGGUGAGUGUUUUCUGCACCCACAUGGAGACUUCACUUUUGCGAUGGGAUCCUGGUGAAAGCCAGGCGGUCACUGCCAUGACCCUGCUGUCUUACCCCUCCACACAGUGUUUGGUGGCUACUCGGGUUUUCUGAAAACAAUAAUAAUAAUGCUGCCAAUUCCCAUGAUUUUGUCAUGAGUCCCGUGCUUGUUUUCCUUAAAGCCCCAGCUCCUGGAGUCAAGGGGGUAUGUGAUGAUUUCAGCCUUCAUUCUUAAAAGAAAAAUGAAGUUUCCAGCCCUCCUGGCUGUGCAGAAAGCUUCAAAAUGUAACCCUGGUGCACCCUAAAGGCUCAAAGGCAGCAGCAAAUCUAUUCUUUGUACAUAAUCUCACGAUUUCUGGUGAGCCUGACUCAUGAUUUUUGAGCAUUUGGGGCUGGCAAUACCGCAAGUAGACCCUAGGUCUCGAGACCAUUGUUUGCACAGAACAACUGCUAAGAGGAAGAGCAUCCUCCCUUAAAGAGAGGGAGAAAAAGCCGAGAGGUGGGUUAACCUCAUUCAAAGGAAAAAGGCUCUUUACCAAAGCAAGUCAUCUUUGAUGCUGUUGUAUUUGCCCUUCUCCACUGAGGACAGCUGCUUGGACA